Camellia sinensis is the source of this 832-nucleotide non-coding RNA. Lineage: Eukaryota; Viridiplantae; Streptophyta; Magnoliopsida; Ericales; Theaceae. The record is from RefSeq and is a predicted model, not a curated record.
GCUUCUCUCUCUCUCUCUCUCUCUCUCUCUCUCUCUCAAAGACCGAAACCCUAGCUCUGCACAAGUAACCCACGUUUCUCACCCAUUUAUAUAUUUUUCCUCUCCAUAUUCUUUACAAAGAGGGUCGGUUUUUGGCGAUUGUUUUGGGAUGCGUCGCUGCCGCCAUAGAAGGUGGCGUGAGCACUCCACCACGGCCCGCCGGUGUGAACUCCGGGGAUUCGAGCUUCCACCACCACCGCGAGAGCCCAGACGAGACUAGCAAUGCAGAGAAAAACCCUCGAUACAUAUGUAUCUCUGCAAAUGUGUGUACAUGUAUGAGGAAUUUGGGAAUCCUAGAGGAGAGAAAGAAGAAGAAAUAGUUACAGAUCAAACAGAUCUAACAACAAUUCUUAUGCCGAACCACUCGAUUCAACAAAUCGAAAUCACGAUUCGCUCCAAAAAUUGUUCAUUUUCCCCUGGAUUUGGUACUUUAAGCCUGUUCUUCUUCGGUCUGCAACAUCUACUUUACUGGGAUUAGCAUCCUCACCAUUAUUUCCUCUGUUAAUCAACGCAUUCGUAAUGGAUUCUUGCUGUGCAACCUUGAGAGCCAAUACCCACUUGGCAAACCCAAGCAAAUGUGGUCUGAGUCAUGGUGAUAAUGGGUUUUGGGGGGAGAGGAUGAGAGGGAGUCUCAACAAGAACAGUCGUCAUUAGGUUAAUCAGUUAGCAAAAGGCUUGAGAUAUGAGAGAAAGGAGAGGAAGAUCAGACCUAGCGUUUCUUGCUCUGUUAUUACAUCAGACAAUGGCAAAGAGGCUUUGACCAUAGAUGCACCCCUGUUUGAGAGAGGAAGAG